UAUAAUAGCACGGCGAGCGUAGAGUGAGUUAAAUGUUGCAGGUAAAGUAGUUGCAAGUUUAGCAAUCUGCUGCGGCUGGAAAGUCGUUGGAAGGUCUGAACGGUUGCCGACAUUUGACAACUUGGUGAGAUCACUCAUAUCUACUGUAAGUGUUGCAAGUCGAGAUUCCACACCUGCAACAGGGAAUUUUAGGUGUCAACUUUAGUGUAGAGAGAGAUGCUUAAAGAGAGAGACCUAUACUUACAGAUUGGAAGAGAUUGAUUAAACCAAGCUAUACAACACAACCCUUCGGGGCCGUUUGGUAGGAGGUAUAAGGUGGGAUAUCCCAUUGAUAAGUUUGAGAUAUCCCAUGGAUAAAAUUUAUACCGUGUUUGGUUGAUGGUAUAAAUUUAUCCAGAGACUAACUUAUACCAUCAACCAAACACGGUAUAAAGCUAAUACCAAAUCUGGUUUUGGUAUAACCCAUCUUAGUCCAUCAACCCUGGACUAUUUUAUAACACCUCCUAUAGGGUAUAAAAUAGUCCAGGAAUUAUAAUCACGGGAUUAUGGGAUUAUAAUCCCGAGAUAAUUUAGUCUACGUACCAAACGACCCCUUCAGGUUAUAUCUACCCAUCCCCGGCCCCCAAGGAAGGCGAUUGCACAUGUUGAGCGGGGAUCUGAAUUUGGAGCACGUUGGUAUAAAAUUUUCUAAUAUUUCUUCAGUACCAGAAAAUCAGGUCUGAGUGGUUUGAUCUUUUAAAUGUGUACAGCAAGACUGUCACUUGCCUUUAGAACUUUGACAUGGUCCUUGACUAAGACAAACUAUUUUAAAGGUCGACAAAAGUUAUCAUCCCUGGAUCUAGGGAAGAUAUCAUCUACGAGUUACAGAGUUUACUCUUGAACUUAUAAUAUCUCAAAAACGGGUUUGUGUACAUUAAGGAUUUUCUAAUCAUGUUUCUACAAGUUUCUUAACCAAGAAAAGAAAGAAGAGUAUGAACAGAAGCCAGAAAAAUUAUGAAGCUAUUUAUAUGCAUUUGGAAAAGAUGGAUCUUUGGAGACAAUUCUGCCAUGGAGUAUUAAUAACUGGCGAAAAGAAAUUGGAGGCAAUCAGGAACUUUUCUCGUAUGGCCUCAGACGACAAAAUCAAGCUGCAAAUGUAAAAAUGGCGGAGUUAUUGACAGAGACUCAAGACAGUACACACAAAUUGGUGAACUCACAUCAAAUAGCCUCCAUCAAAGGCAGGCAAAUCAUGGAUGCUGCACUAAUUGCAAAUGAAUCCCUAGAUUCCAGAAGUAAGGAGAAGAAACCUGUGAUCCUUUGCAAGCUAGACAUAGAAAAGGCAUUUGAUCAUGUGAAUUGGGGUUUCCUUUUGAAUAUGAUGGAGAGAAUGGGGUUUGGCUCAAAGUGGGUAAAUUGGAUUAGAUUUUGUAUCAGUACUAUCAAGUUCUCAGUUUUGAUCGAUGGAUCCCCUGAAGGUUUUUUCCCCUCACACAGAGGACUGAGGCAGGAGAUCCUCUUUCUCCUUUCCUCUUUCUGUUGACCAUGGAGGGCUUGGAUAACAUGUUAAUUAUAGCUCAGAGGAAUAGUUGGCUCAGAGGAUUCAAGGUCAACAAGAAGCAAGGUGAUAGCAUGGAAAUUACACAUCUGCUGUAUACAGAUGAUGCAAUCAUCCUAUGUGAGGCAGAUGCGGAACAAAAGAGGACAGAGAAUUAUUCUAUCUUUGAAGGGGUAUCUGAAUCACAAGUUAACUGGAGGAAGAGUUCUAUGUUUCCAGUCAAUGAUCCUCAGCAGUUCCAGAAAUGCGUGCAAAUAUUAGGAGAAGUGGUGGCACUUGGAGCAAAUAGUAGAUCCAUACAAAUUUGGAAUGGGGUGUUACAGAAAUGCAAGAAGAAACUUACCAGAUGGAAGAGCCAGUAUCUUUCUUGCGGUGGCAGGCUAACUCUCAUAACAGUGUCCUAGAUGCUCUAUUUACCUACACAUGAUGUCUCUUUUCCAUAUUCCCCCUCGGGUUGAAAAGAGAAUGGAUAUGUUGAGAAGCAAUUUUUUGAGGCAAGGUAACAAAGACAAGAGGCAUCCACCUUGUCAAAUGGAAAACCCUGACACUCAGCACACAACAAGGGGGCCUUGGUGUAAAGAAUCUAAGCAAGCAAAGUCAAAGUUUGCUCAUGAAGUGGCUAUGGAGAUUUCAAAUGAAGACCAAUCUCACUGGAAGAAGGCGAUUAAAGAGAAGUAUGGAGGAGAAGAUGCAUGGACUAAAACAGUUAACAAUGUAUAUGGGGACAGUGUCUGGAAGACUAUUAGAAAUCUAUGGCAGAUUUUCAGUAUACACAAAGUUGGGAAUGGUCACAAGAUCUCUUUUUGGGACGAUAACUGGUUAGGAUCUGGCACCCUCAGAAUUCAACACCCAGAUGUUUUCUUACUAAAUCAACAACAAAGAGCUAAUAUUAGUGAAGUUUGGAAUAAUCAAGGAUGGGACCUCAGUUUCAGGAGGCGUUUAUAUGAUUGGGAGAUGGCCAGAUUCAUAUGAUUCCUCAACACUCUCAAUUUCUUCAAUGGAGUAUCACUAGAGCAAGAUAGAUUUAUGGUGGCUGAGAGACGGUUCAGGAGCUUUUUUGGUCAAGAUAGCAUAUCAUAUGAGGAACCAUAACAACAAUCUUAGUGUGCAGUGGCCUUGGAAGCAAUUAUGAAAGACCAAGAUACCAUACAAAGUGCCCUGUUUUGUUUGGUUGGUAAUUAAGAGGGCUUGCUUGACACAAGACAGACUGCAAAGAAGAAUACACCUUUGCUCUAUCUGCCAUCUAUGGGGAAGAAAUGCAGAAACAAAUAGUCAUCCUUUUUUGCAUUGUAAGGUGACUCCUCAACUAUGGGAUAUAUUUCUAGCAAUGAUUGGUUUGAGUUGGACAAUGCCAAUGAAUACACUAGAUAUGCUAUCUAGCUGGAAUAGAAAAGGAGGAAUAAAAGAUCCAAAAAUCAGUUGGAGUAUGAUCCCAGGCUGCAUAUGGUGGACUAUCUGGAAGGAAAGAAAUUCAAGAUGUUUUGAGAACAAAAGCAACCCUAUCCAGAAGAUAAAGCUUAAUUGUAUUCUGCUUUUGCAUUUUUGGUGUAAACAAGAGUAUAUAAGUGACACACAGACUCUCACACAGUUCCUAGAGUCUCUAUAGCUAACUAGCAGACUUUUCUGUAGCUUUUACUUAGAUUUUGUUCGUUGUAACUUUAGCCAUAACAGGCCCUGUUGACUUAAAUACAAAAGUGUUACCAUUUCAACAAAAAAAAGAUGUCUAUAGUAUAUUCAACUAAAGGUUGAAACAAGAGAAACUGAAUAUACUGCAGAGACAUGCAUGUCAAGAUCAAAAUAGUAUAAGCAGGUUACUAAGUUGAUGUGAAUAAAUAUUGUUUGUGGUAUGAAAAUUUGGAAGAGGAAGCGGGGUCCCUUCUAUAAAUUCCUCCUGCUCAGGCAACUAAGAGUAGAGCACCCAGUGUCCUCAUAUCUCUGAGUUUGGAUCCCAGAGCUCUAAAGAAACUAGGGAAGUACUCCCUCGGUUUCAUUUUAUGUGACCCUGUUUAAUUGGCAUGAAAUUUAAGAAAGAAGAAAGACUUUGGAACUUGUGGAAAGACUUGAACAUACCACAACAUUAGACAUUUGUGGAGAUAAAAUCAUGUCAUUAAAGGUAAAAUAUUUCAAAUAUAAAAAGGGCAUGUCAUUAAAGGUAAAAUAUUUCAAAUAUAAAAAGGGGUCAAUUCUUUUGGAUCAAACUAAGAACGAAAUAGUAUCACAUAAAAUAUAACAAAAUACAAUAUUUUCACUUGGUAUUCAAAAAAGAGGUUAUUCUCACAGUAAGGUUCAAGAUCUGGUGCGCAUUUCUAGUCAAUUUUUGGUGUUCCCAUGAGUUUCUUGUUAAUAUAGAUGGCUGUGAGUUGUUUGUAGAUCGGUGUAAGCUUUCUACUGCACAACUUGCAUACAGAGGCUUAAAUGUUAAAAUAUUAAAAAAUUAUCAAUUACCUCAUCUGGAAAAUGAAACUUCUCUAUUGAGAGAGAAAUUUGGGAAUAGUAGAAACAAACUAUAGAUGACAAGGUGGAGGAACGAACAAAUUCUAGUCCAAUACUCAUCGAUCAUUCUAAUAAUGAUUAUUAAGGGUGCGUCUAAGACUAACACUGUUUACAAAAAGAUGAGCGCAAUGGCUAGAGAGAACUCAUUAGCUUACUAAAAGGUGGCGCUGGUUGACACGCAUAGAAUUCAUUAGCUUACUCGUGGUGGUGUUCGUUGAUGCGCAUCACUCAAGGAAAACUAGGAAGAUUCAGGAAGAUGUGACAGUUACCCCGAGAUGUGCAGCAAUAAUAUUUUUUUGAAAUAUUAGUAUUAUAUGCUUUGUCUGACUUCAGAUGGAAAUUUUCAAAUUGUGAUCAGUUUCCCUUUUUUUGGAUCAAGUGGAGAUCACAUUCAUAUGCUCGACUUAUGGGUUUGAAGGCGAUGCUGGACUUAUCUGUACUUGAAGGCGUGCAGUUAACGAGUAACUGCCUCAAUUCUUGAGGGUCAGCCUAUUUCCUCAUCAAAACAUAAGCUGCCCAUCAAACUUGACGUGGCUACUGGCCAACUGCAAAUCUUCAAGUACCCAUAAGUCUAGCAAGCUAAUACCAUCAAUACUUCAACAGCAGCAUAUAAACAUGGAAACUUAUUUUAGACCUUAGAAUUUGAUAAGGUGACUGUGAUGAUGUAGAACAUGGAUAAAGCAUUCAAAACAUUUCAUUGUUAGGAAGUAUUACCUAUGGAAAAUAGGACAUCCCGUGUGGUUAGAUUAGCUAUGAACUGACGAGGAUCCCAGAAACUAUGACAUAUUGUUCUCUAGAAUGCCAAUCAGCACAUAGCUAAAGAGAUUCAAUACGCAAAUUUUUGACAACAAAGAGCAGCAGGAGGAAUAAGGAAAUGCUAAAAUGUAGACACUGAUCAUGCCUGGAGGGAUUCCAACAUAGAGCUCGCCAUCAAUCUUCAAAGGUUGAACGAAAGCUUCUUCAAGGAGCUCUUGAAACCUUCUU
This 5011-nucleotide long non-coding RNA is filed under the name Capsicum annuum. RNAcentral describes it as "long non-coding RNA (CANN_LNC000467)". The record is from RNAcentral. Lineage: Eukaryota; Viridiplantae; Streptophyta; Magnoliopsida; Solanales; Solanaceae.